This is a non-coding RNA of Dipodomys ordii (Ord's kangaroo rat), 68 nucleotides long. NCBI's taxonomy places the organism in Eukaryota, Metazoa, Chordata, Mammalia, Rodentia, Heteromyidae. The record is from Rfam.
AGAAUCCAUUUGUGGGCGGCUGGCUCCGGAUCUGCGAAGGUGGACAACCCAAAAGCCAAGUUGGCAGG